This 503-nucleotide ribosomal RNA is filed under the name uncultured bacterium. RNAcentral describes it as "partial 16S ribosomal RNA". It matches the Rfam family "Bacterial small subunit ribosomal RNA", at positions 28 to 523 of the family's 1533-position model. The record is from RNAcentral.
GAUGAACGCUAGCGACAGGCCUAACACAUGCAAGUCGAGGGGUAGCAGGAUGUAGCAAUACAUCGCUGACGACCGGCGCACGGGUGAGUAACGCGUAUGCAACCUACCUUCUACAGGGGGAUAGCCCGGAGAAAUCCGGAUUAAUACCCCAUAAAACAGGGACUCCGCAUGGAGAUAUUUGUUAAAGAUUAAUCGGUAGAAGAUGGGCAUGCGUUCCAUUAGCCAGUUGGUGAGGUAACGGCUCACCAAAGCAACGAUGGAUAGGGGAACUGAGAGGUUUAUCCCCCACACUGGAACUGAGACACGGACCAGACUCCUACGGGAGGCAGCAGUGAGGAAUAUUGGUCAAUGGGCGCGAGCCUGAACCAGCCAAGUCGCGUGAAGGAAGACUGCCUUAUGGGUUGUGAACUUCUUUUAUAUGAGAAUAAAAAGAGUUACGUGUAACUUAUUGCAGGUAUCAUAUGAAUAAGCAUCGGCUAACUCCGUGCCAGCCGCCGCCGUAA